Molecule: long non-coding RNA, 458 nt
Organism: Felis catus (domestic cat)
Lineage: Eukaryota; Metazoa; Chordata; Mammalia; Carnivora; Felidae
Exons: 2
Source: RefSeq, a predicted model, not a curated record
AUCCCGGAGCCCUCAGUUCUCCCUCCCCCAGGUCCAGGGAAGGGAAGCUAACAUUUAUUGAGCACCUGAUACUCACUGGGCAUUUCCCAGGUAUGAUGUCAUGCAAUCAUCACAGCAACCCUUCCGCACGUGGGCUGACGCCCCCCUCCUCCCCCCUCCACUCCUUCUGUCUUGCCUGCCUGCCCCUUCCCAGGACCCAGGCCACUGGCUUCCCCACCCUCCCCUCACCCCCUUCCACAACUCUUUUUCCGACCACUCUGUCUGAGCCACAUUCAAACCUUCCCAGUCUGCACAAGAUCUCUAAGGGAGCCCACAGCCUCAGUCUUUCCCCCACGAGUGGAAAUGCCACUGCAGGCCCCAUCUGGACACAAGCAACGAGAUGCCAACCUCCAGAUUCAAGUUUCUUCGGAUUUUUUUUAAUUAUAAUUAUUAUUUUAAUAACAACCUGAAUCCCAGAA